AUUGAACGCUGGCGGCAUGCUUUACACAUGCAAGUCGAACGGCAGCGCGGGCUUCGGCCUGGCGGCGAGUGGCGAACGGGUGAGUAAUGCAUCGGAACGUGCCCCGUAGUGGGGGAUAGCCCGGCGAAAGCCGGAUUAAUACCGCAUACGACCUGAGGGUGAAAGCGGGGGACCGAAAGGCCUCGCGCUAUUGGAGCGGCCGAUGUCGGAUUAGCUAGUUGGUGGGGUAAAGGCUUACCAAGGCGACGAUCCGUAGCUGGUCUGAGAGGACGACCAGCCACACUGGGACUGAGACACGGCCCAGACUCCUACGGGAGGCAGCAGUGGGGAAUGUUGGACAAUGGGGGCAACCCUGGUCCAGCCAUGCCGCGUGCGAGGAGAAGGCCUUCGGGUUGUAAACCGCUUUUGUUCGGGAAGAAAUCCUCUGGGCUAAUACCCCGGGGGGAUGACGGUACCGGAAGAAUAAGCACCGGCUAACUACGUG
RNAcentral lists this ribosomal RNA (484 nucleotides) under uncultured bacterium. RNAcentral's name for it is "partial 16S ribosomal RNA". It matches the Rfam family "Bacterial small subunit ribosomal RNA", at positions 28 to 507 of the family's 1533-position model. The record is from RNAcentral.